RNAcentral lists this ribosomal RNA (167 nucleotides) under uncultured Actinomycetes bacterium. Its description in RNAcentral is "uncultured actinobacterium partial 16S ribosomal RNA". Lineage: Bacteria; Bacillati; Actinomycetota; Actinomycetes. The record is from RNAcentral.
UCCGCCUUCACGCAGUCGAGUUGCAGACUGCGAUCCGAACUGAGACCGGUUUUCAGGGAUCCGCUCCGCGUCGCCGCGUCGCAUCCCGUUGUACCGGCCAUUGUAGCAUGCGUGAAGCCCUGGACAUAAGGGGCAUGAUGAUCUGACGUCAUCCCCACCUUCCUCCG